AUCCUUUUCUGGUUCAUAAGCGUGAUGAUUGGGUUCUCACGCGCUUGUGUGAUAUGUGCCUUCCUCUGAACCUUGUUAUGAUGUGGGCACAUUACCGGUCUGACG
Dipodomys spectabilis (banner-tailed kangaroo rat) is the source of this 105-nucleotide small nucleolar RNA. RefSeq annotates it as small nucleolar RNA U13. The transcript has a single exon. NCBI's taxonomy places the organism in Eukaryota, Metazoa, Chordata, Mammalia, Rodentia, Heteromyidae. The record is from RefSeq and is a predicted model, not a curated record.